AUAAGAAAGUUUUGUUGGGGGAAAUCUAAGGGCCCUCCAUAAACCUUAUAUGCUUAUAAAACAGCAUAUAAAAAUUUAACAGCGGUGCGCUAGAUUGCAUAGUCUUUUCAAAGAGAAGGCGCUGCAUUUAUACGUACUGGAGUUGUUGGCUUUGUCCUCAUUGUUGCCGGAAGAUGACUGUGGGCUGCUGUGGUUGCUGCUGCUCUCUGCUGUCCUCCUCUCUUUUUCAUCAUUCUCUUUGCAGGUCUCCGAACCUGAAGUGGUGGCUGUAGCAGCUCCUGGGACUUUGUCGCAGUUCUUGUCCCCAGAAUAAUCCGUGGGCUGAUUAUCAGUGCUGCCAUAAGCAGUCUCAAAGAAUUGGUCAAAAGCUUGAGGCAGAACACCGUUACGCCCCACUGUGCUAUAGAAAUUAGACGAAACGUUGGCAUUGGGGUGAUAUACAUUGGAGGUGUUUUUGCCGAACAUGUCCCCCAUGCUAGCAGUGUUGGAGGCAGGAAUGCAGUCCCUGUGCAUGAUCUCCUCUGCUGAGUAGCAGUGGGGUAGGUUAUUCCUGUGGUGCCACUUACUGGAAGUAUCAAUGGCAUACUCUCUGAAUGUGACCUCUCUCACAGGUUGGACCUGGGGUAGGUUGGAAGAGUAAGAAUAUGUCAUAGGACGAGAAGAUGGGGUUUGGGGUAGGAAUGAAGGAAGGCUGGAGAAAUCAGGACCCGAGACGUAGUAAGUGCAACUUGGCAAAUACAUGUUAGAGGAGCACGGAACGCGCUCAUCAAAAUCCAUCAUUAGGCUACCUCGGGCUGUCCGCAUUAGCUGAGCUUAACAUGACUCUCUAAUGCAGCUGCCUCUUUGAAGCAGAUCCGUGAAGUAGAAAUUUGGAGACGUAAGCUGACGUGGAAAUCUAUCCCAGUCCUUAGCAGGGAGGUGCUGGUCAUGUGAUCAGAUGUUGAAAUUGACAAGCUGCAAGUAUGGGCCCUUUUGUAGCCAUCUCAGGGGAAGCAACAGAUCGUCACUUGCUAGUUUCAUACAAGCAUAUAAUCUGAAAUGUAACUCAUGAUCCCCCAACAUCUGUGCAAGUCAUUGAGAUUAUUGCUGGCAAUUGCACUUUUUGUGAAAAGCCUCGUCUAGACCAUCUGGUAUGCACUGAACAGUCUGCAGAGUUGUAACCACUUCCAUUGAAAUACAAAA
Long non-coding RNA from Bombina bombina (fire-bellied toad), 1182 nucleotides. RefSeq lists it as uncharacterized. The record is from RefSeq and is a predicted model, not a curated record. The transcript has 2 exons. NCBI's taxonomy places the organism in Eukaryota, Metazoa, Chordata, Amphibia, Anura, Bombinatoridae.